Molecule: ribosomal RNA, 376 nt
Filed under: uncultured bacterium
Lineage: Bacteria
Description: bacterial SSU rRNA
Rfam family: Bacterial small subunit ribosomal RNA
Source: RNAcentral
UACGUAGGUGGCAAGCGUUGUCCGGAUUUACUGGGCGUAAAGGGAGCGUAGGCGGAUACUUAAGUGGGAUGUGAAAUACCUGGGCUUAACUUGGGUGCUGCAUUCCAAACUGGGUGUCUAAAGUGUUGGAGAGGAAAGUGGAAUUCCUAGUGUAGCGGUGAAAUGCGUAGAGAUUAGGAAGAACACCAGUGGCGAAGGCGACUUUCUGGACAAUAACUGACGCUGAGGCUCGAAAGCGUGGGGAGCAAACAGGAUUAGAUACCCUGGUAGUCCACGCCGUAAACGAUGGGUACUAGGUGUAGGAGGUAUCGACUCCUCCUGUGCCGCAGUUAAAGCAAUAAGUACCCCGCCUGGGGAGUACGGUCGCAAGAUUGAA